AAACCCCACUGGGAGCAAGACCGAAUAGGAACAGUAGAGGUUGCGCCCCUCUUUCCGCAAACCUCAAGGACCUCCCGUCCUUCUGUUCGGGUUGGUCGCGUGAGACCUAUUGCGAAAUAGGUCCUAGAGGACUGAUCGUCCUAACCCCUCAAAAGGUUAGACAGAACCCGGCUUAUAGACCAUCUCGCCUU
Molecule: RNase P RNA, 191 nt
Filed under: Acetobacter sp.
Lineage: Bacteria; Pseudomonadati; Pseudomonadota; Alphaproteobacteria; Acetobacterales; Acetobacteraceae
Description: partial RNase P RNA component class A
Rfam family: Bacterial RNase P class A
About the family: Ribonuclease P (RNase P) is a ubiquitous endoribonuclease, found in archaea, bacteria and eukarya as well as chloroplasts and mitochondria. Its best characterised activity is the generation of mature 5'-ends of tRNAs by cleaving the 5'-leader elements of precursor-tRNAs.
Source: RNAcentral